Molecule: ribosomal RNA, 243 nt
Filed under: uncultured bacterium
Lineage: Bacteria
Description: partial 16S ribosomal RNA
Rfam family: Bacterial small subunit ribosomal RNA
Source: RNAcentral
UAGCGUAGGGUGCAAGCGUUAAUCGGAAGUUACUGGGCGUAAAGCGUGCGCAGGCGGUUUUGUAAGUCUGGUCGUCGAAAAGCCCCGGGCUCAACCUGGGAAAUGGCAAUGGAUACUGGCAGGCUGAGGAGUGCGGUAGAGGUAGUGGAAUUCCCGGUGUAGCGGUGAAAUGCGUAGAGAUCGGGAGGAACACCCGUGGCGAAGGCGGCUCUCUGGGACGGUACUGACGCGAGACGCGAAAGC